UACGUAGGGGGCGAGCGUUGUCCGGAAUUACUGGGCGUAAAGAGUACGUAGGCGGUUAUGUAAGCGCAAGGUGAAAGGCAUAGGCUCAACCAAUGUCAGCCUUGCGAACUGUGUGACUUGAGUGCAGGAGGGGAAAGCGGAAUUCCUGGUGUAGCGGUGAAAUGCGUAGAUAUCAGGAGGAACACCGGUGGCGAAGGCGGCUUUCUGGACUGUAACUGACGCUGAGGUACGAAAGCGUGGGGAGC
This 245-nucleotide ribosomal RNA is filed under the name uncultured Eubacteriales bacterium. Its description in RNAcentral is "uncultured Clostridiales bacterium partial 16S ribosomal RNA". It matches the Rfam family "Bacterial small subunit ribosomal RNA", at positions 524 to 769 of the family's 1533-position model. Lineage: Bacteria; Bacillati; Bacillota; Clostridia; Eubacteriales. The record is from RNAcentral.